Molecule: long non-coding RNA, 391 nt
Organism: Brassica oleracea var. oleracea
Lineage: Eukaryota; Viridiplantae; Streptophyta; Magnoliopsida; Brassicales; Brassicaceae
Exons: 2
Source: RefSeq, a predicted model, not a curated record
AAGGUGAUCAUUUUCUCUCAACCCAAAAUAAAACAUCUCCAGAAAAGGAAAAGAGAUAGAAAGAUAAGGAAAAGAGAUAGAAAGAUAACAAUGUCGGCACAGAAGAUUCAAUUUGCUUCUUUGAUCCUAGCUUUUUCUCUUCUGUUUUCUCAAUCAACUGGUGAGUGUAACUAUAGAUACCCAGUACCACCCGUAGCAAUUUGUAAGAAGAAUGACGACUGCAAGAACGCGUGCGUGCCGCCUUCAGAAGAUCCAAAUUAUCUAGAGUGCAUUACUUCCCGUUCUCCCCCAAAGUAUUUUGGCACAUGUUGUUGUUUACUAAAAGAAAAAUAGUCUUACCUAUCAUAAGAUUUAAUAUCAAUCUAAAAAAUAAUGUUUGCAUCGUUUGAAA